CUGCUCUUCAUCCUCACCUUCCAACACAUCAUCAUCAUCUCUCUGACUCUCUGAGCAUUCUGGGUCAUUUGGACUCAGAAUCUUAUGGAUCUUCUUCAGCUCGUUCUUCAGAAAAGUGACAAUGUUGUCCUCCAGCACCAUAAAUAUGGAGUCCAGCUGUGUUUGAUGCUGCUGGGCAGACGGACAACUAGGAACCUCUGAGCUCUGCUGGUCCACUCUGUGGAGGAACCAGGAACAAUUAGGAAGUCAAGAAAUAUUCAUCCAGCAGUAUUCAGAAAUGAAAUCACCAAAACUUUCACAUUAAAUGUACUUGAAGCAGAAAAACAGAGGAUCAUAUGAACAAAAUGGAGUGAAGUUAAAAAGAGGAAGAUGAACUACAAGGAUGAAGAGCAGUAACACCAAAAUCACCUAG
Xiphophorus couchianus (Monterrey platyfish) is the source of this 412-nucleotide long non-coding RNA. RefSeq lists it as uncharacterized. The record is from RefSeq and is a predicted model, not a curated record. The transcript is spliced from 2 exons. Lineage: Eukaryota; Metazoa; Chordata; Actinopteri; Cyprinodontiformes; Poeciliidae.